Molecule: ribosomal RNA, 1435 nt
Filed under: uncultured organism
Description: partial small subunit ribosomal RNA
Rfam family: Bacterial small subunit ribosomal RNA
Source: RNAcentral
CUGGCGGCGUGCUUAACACAUGCAAGUCGAACGGAAAGGCCCUGCUUUUGUGGGGUGCUCGAGUGGCGAACGGGUGAGUAACACGUGAGUAACCUGCCCUUGACUUUGGGAUAACUUCAGGAAACUGGGGCUAAUACCGGAUAGGAGCUCCUGCUGCAUGGUGGGGGUUGGAAAGUUUCGGCGGUUGGGGAUGGACUCGCGGCUUAUCAGCUUGUUGGUGGGGUAGUGGCUUACCAAGGCUUUGACGGGUAGCCGGCCUGAGAGGGUGACCGGCCACAUUGGGACUGAGAUACGGCCCAGACUCCUACGGGAGGCAGCAGUGGGGAAUAUUGCACAAUGGGCGGAAGCCUGAUGCAGCAACGCCGCGUGCGGGAUGACGGCCUUCGGGUUGUAAACCGCUUUCGCCUGUGACGAAGCGUGAGUGACGGUAAUGGGUAAAGAAGCACCGGCUAACUACGUGCCAGCAGCCGCGGUGAUACGUAGGGUGCGAGCGUUGUCCGGAUUUAUUGGGCGUAAAGGGCUCGUAGGUGGUUGAUCGCGUCGGAAGUGUAAUCUUGGGGCUUAACCCUGAGCGUGCUUUCGAUACGGGUUGACUUGAGGAAGGUAGGGGAGAAUGGAAUUCCUGGUGGAGCGGUGGAAUGCGCAGAUAUCAGGAGGAACACCAGUGGCGAAGGCGGUUCUCUGGGCCUUUCCUGACGCUGAGGAGCGAAAGCGUGGGGAGCGAACAGGCUUAGAUACCCUGGUAGUCCACGCUGUAAACGGUGGGUACUAGGUGUGGGGUCCAUUCCACGGGUUCCGUGCCGUAGCUAACGCUUUAAGUACCCCGCCUGGGGAGUACGGCCGCAAGGCUAAAACUCAAAGGAAUUGACGGGGCCCCGCACAAGCGGCGGAGCAUGCGGAUUAAUUCGAUGCAACGCGUAGAACCUUACCUGGGUUUGACAUGGAUCGGGAGUGCUCAGAGAUGGGUGUGCCUCUUUUGGGGUCGGUUCACAGGUGGUGCAUGGCUGUCGUCAGCUCGUGUCGUGAGAUGUUGGGUUAAGUCCCGCAACGAGCGCAACCCUUGUUCACUGUUGCCAGCACGUUAUGGUGGGGACUCAGUGGAGACCGCCGGGGUCAACUCGGAGGAAGGUGGGGAUGACGUCAAGUCAUCAUGCCCCUUAUGUCCAGGGCUUCACGCAUGCUACAAUGGCUGGUACAGAGAGUGGCGAGCCUGUGAGGGUGAGCGAAUCUCGGAAAGCCGGUCUCAGUUCGGAUUGGGGUCUGCAACUCGACCUCAUGAAGUCGGAGUCGCUAGUAAUCGCAGAUCAGCAACGCUGCGGUGAAUACGUUCCCGGGGCUUGUACACACCGCCCGUCAAGUCAUGAAAGUUGGUAACACCCGAAGCCGGUGGCCUAACCGUUGUGGGGGAGCCGUCGAAGGUGGGACUGGUGAUUAG